AAAUGUUAAAGUUCUUAUUUCAUGGUAUAACUUUGGUAUGCUUGGACCUAGAGUCUUCAAACUUGACAUGAAGGUUGGCCAGGAUUAACAGAUGACCACUGGUCAUUUCAAGGUCAUUCAUUUGAAGGUCAAGGUCACUGUGACCUUGAAUGUAAAAAUGUUAAAGUUCUUAUUUCAUUGUAUAACUUUGGUAUGCUUGGACCUAGAGUCUUCAAACUUGACAUGAAGGUUGGCCAGGAUUAACAGAUGACCACUGGUCAUUUCAAGGUCAUUCAUUUGAAGGUCAAGGUCACUGUGACCUUGAAUGUAAAAAUGUUAAAGUUCUUAUUUCAUGGUAUAACUUUGGUAUGCUUGGACCUAGAGUCUUCAAACUUGACAUGAAGGUUGGCCAGGAUUAACAGAUGACCACUGGUCAUUUCAAGGUCAUUCAUUUGAAGGUCAAGGUCACUGUGACCUUGAAUGUAAAAAUGUUAAAGUUGUUAUAACUUUGGUAUGCUUGGACCUAGAGUCUUGAAACUUGACAUGAAGGUUGGCCAGAACUAGUAAGUAACCACUGGACAUUUCAAGGUCAUUCAUUUGAAGGUCAAGGUCACUGUGACCUUGAAUGUAAAAAUGUUAAAGUUCUUAUUUCAUGUUAUAACUUUGGUAUGCUUGUACCUAGAGUCUUCAAACUUGAAAUAAAGAUUGGCCAGUA
Molecule: long non-coding RNA, 694 nt
Organism: Dreissena polymorpha
Lineage: Eukaryota; Metazoa; Mollusca; Bivalvia; Myida; Dreissenidae
Exons: 3
Source: RefSeq, a predicted model, not a curated record